GCGUCUUUUGCUGCCGUGCUAUCCUCCCCAAGCACCUGAUUUGCCCAGCAGCACAGCAGCAAAAGAUGUGUCUUUUCUUUUCUUUUUUGCUGCCGUGCUGCUGGGUGAACCAGGUGUUUGGCGGGGAUAGAGCAGUAGCAAAAGAUGC
Podarcis lilfordi (Lilford's wall lizard) is the source of this 148-nucleotide non-coding RNA. The record is from the annotation of a GenBank genome assembly. Lineage: Eukaryota; Metazoa; Chordata; Lepidosauria; Squamata; Lacertidae.